UACGGAGGGUGCAAGCGUUGUUCGGAUUUACUGGGCGUAAAGCGCGCGCAGGUGGGUGUGCAAGUCGGAAGUGAAAUCUCGAGGCUCAACCUCGAGGCUGCUCCCGAAACUGCUCGCCUAGGGACUGGUAGAGGCUGGUAGAAUUCCCGGUGUAGCGGUGGAAUGCGUAGAGAUCGGGAAGAAUACCUGUGGCGAAGGCGGCCAGCUGGGCCCAGAUCGACACUGAGGCGCGGAAAGCGUGGGGAGCAAAC
Molecule: ribosomal RNA, 251 nt
Filed under: uncultured bacterium
Lineage: Bacteria
Description: partial 16S ribosomal RNA
Rfam family: Bacterial small subunit ribosomal RNA
Source: RNAcentral